GAUGAACGCUGGCGGCGUGCCUAAUACAUGCAAGUCGAGCGAACAGACGAGGAGCUUGCUCCUCUGACGUUAGCGGCGGACGGGUGAGUAACACGUGGAUAACCUACCUAUAAGACUGGGAUAACUUCGGGAAACCGGAGCUAAUACCGGAUAAUAUAUUGAACCGCAUGGUUCAAUAGUGAAAGACGGUUUUGCUGUCACUUAUAGAUGGAUCCGCGCCGCAUUAGCUAGUGGGUAAGGUAACGGGUUACCAAGGCAACGAUGCGUAGCCGACCUGAGAGGGUGAUCGGCGACACUGGAACUGGGCCAGGGUCCAGACUCCUACGGGAGGCAGCAGUAGGGAACCUUCCGCAGUGGGCGAGAGCCUGGCGGAGCAACGCCGCGUGAGUGAUGAAGGUCUUGGGAGCGUAAAACUCUGUUAUUAGGGAAGAACAAAUGUGUAAGUAACUAUGCACGUCUUGACGGUACCUAAUCAGAAAGCCACGGCUAACUACGUG
Molecule: ribosomal RNA, 497 nt
Filed under: uncultured bacterium
Lineage: Bacteria
Description: partial 16S ribosomal RNA
Rfam family: Bacterial small subunit ribosomal RNA
Source: RNAcentral